AUGGCGGCGCUCUGCUCCGCCGCCUCGCCGGCCGUCGCCAGGGCCGCGGCGCUCGGCCUGUCCGCGCGCGGCCCCGCCUCCCUCCUCCCCCUGCGCCUCCGCCUCCGCGCCGCCACGCGCUCCUGCUACGCCGCACCACGGGCCGCGCCGGUCGCGGCGUCGUGGCGCGCGCGGCGACGCUUCGCCGCGUCGGCCGCCUCCACCACGGAGGAGGGCGCGGACGUCGACACGGUGAUCCCGCCUGACAACCGCAUCCCCGCCACCAUCAUCACCGGCUUCCUCGGCUCCGGCAAGACAACUUUACUAAAUCACAUACUGACAUCUCACCAUGGAAAACGGAUCGCUGUCAUUGAGAAUGAGUAUGGUGAAGUUGACAUUGAUGGUUCGUUAGUUGCCGCACAAACUGCUGGAGCUGAGGACAUAAUGAUGCUGAACAAUGGUUGUCUUUGCUGCACUGUGCGUGGUGAUUUAGUCCGAAUGAUCAGUGAAUUGGUUGACAAGAAGAAGGGAAAGUUUGACCAUCUUGUCAUUGAAACCACAGGUUUAGCAAACCCAGCACCCAUAAUACAGACAUUCUACGCAGAAGAUACAGUUUUUAAUGAUGUCAAGCUAGAUGGUGUUGUUACUCUAGUGGAUUCAAAGCAUGCAAGGUUGCAUUUGGAUGAAGUGAAGCCCAAGGGUAUAGUCAAUGAGGCAGUUCAGCAAAUUGCUUAUGCUGACAGAAUUAUAAUUAACAAGACUGACCUUGUUAGCGAGCCUGAAGUUUCUUCCUUGGUUGAGCGUAUAAGGAGUAUCAAUCGCAUGGCUAAUUUGAAACGAGCUCAGUAUGGUAAAGUUGAUUUGGAUUAUGUGCUUGGAAUUGGAGGCUUUGAUUUGGAGAGGAUUGAGAGUGCUGUCACUGAAGAACCACAUGAUGAGCACGAACAUGAACAUGAACACAAGCAUGAACAUGAACAUCACCAUGACCAUGCCCACGACCACGACCAUGAUCACCAUCAUCAUGAUCAUGACCAUAAACAUGACCAUCAUGCGCAUGAUCACACCCAUGAUCCCGGUGUUUCUUCUGUAAGCAUCGUUUGCGAAGGGGAGAUGGAUCUUGAAAAGGCUGACAUGUGGUUGGGGAACCUACUGCUGGAACGCAGUGAUGACAUAUACCGGAUGAAGGGGCUGCUCUCAGUCAGUGGAAUGCCUCAACGCUUCGUCUUUCAGGGAGUGCACGACAUUUUCGAGGGAUCUCCCGACAGGAUGUGGGAGCCCAACGAGCCGCGCAUCAACAAGAUUGUGUUCAUUGGCAGGAACCUCAACCGGGAAGAGCUGGAGACGGGCUUCAAGGACUGCCUGCUGAAGUAG
RNAcentral lists this ribosomal RNA (1350 nucleotides) under Triticum aestivum (bread wheat). Its description in RNAcentral is "partial small subunit ribosomal RNA". The record is from RNAcentral. Lineage: Eukaryota; Viridiplantae; Streptophyta; Magnoliopsida; Poales; Poaceae.